RNAcentral lists this ribosomal RNA (305 nucleotides) under uncultured bacterium. Its description in RNAcentral is "bacterial SSU rRNA". It matches the Rfam family "Bacterial small subunit ribosomal RNA", at positions 333 to 654 of the family's 1533-position model. The record is from RNAcentral.
GGCGCCCUACGGGACGCAGCAGUCGGGAAUAUUGCGCAAUGGAGGAAACUCUGACGCAGUGACGCCGCGUAUAGGAAGAAGGUUUUCGGAUUGUAAACUAUUGUCGUUAGGGAAGAGAAAGGACAGUACCUAAGGAGGAAGCUCCGGCUAACUACGUGCCAGCAGCCGCGGUAAUACGUAGGGAGCAAGCGUUGUCCGGAUUUACUGGGUGUAAAGGGUGCGUAGGCGGCUUUGCAAGUCAGAAGUGAAAUCUAUGGGCUUAACCCAUAAACUGCUUUUGAAACUGCAGGGCUUGAGUGAAGUAG